CUUUUCUGAUCUGAUCUCUUUUUCUGCUACCUGCUAGCUAGCUUCCUGUGCUGGGAAACCUACAUGCAUAUCAACAAUUUACUAUUAAUACUUGCACCAAAUAGAAGAAAAAUUGUCUAGCUUGGAUUAUGUAUUCAGAAGAAAAAUGCAAACACUAAGCUCAUUAUUAUUACCCAACCAUAGAACCAAAUAAGAAAAGGGGUAUAAUUGAUCAUUUUCGGUUAUUAACCAUGAUCGAUCAAUUUCGGUUAUUACCCAACUUCCGGAUUAAAAUGAACUGACUUGCUUGAUUGAGGCUUCAAUUUCACUUCCGAAAUCCUGAUGAGAUGC
This 330-nucleotide long non-coding RNA is filed under the name Rosa chinensis. Its description in RNAcentral is "sRNA RchiOBHm_Chr4g0425911". Lineage: Eukaryota; Viridiplantae; Streptophyta; Magnoliopsida; Rosales; Rosaceae. The record is from RNAcentral.